Molecule: ribosomal RNA, 500 nt
Filed under: uncultured bacterium
Lineage: Bacteria
Description: partial 16S ribosomal RNA
Rfam family: Bacterial small subunit ribosomal RNA
Source: RNAcentral
AUUGAACGCUGGCGGCAUGCCUUACACAUGCAAGUCGAACGGCAGCACGGGAGCAAUCCUGGUGGCGAGUGGCGAACGGGUGAGUAAAGUAUCGGAACGUGCCCAGUCGUGGGGGAUAACGUAGCGAAAGUUACGCUAAUACCGCAUACGAUCUAUGGAUGAAAGCGGGGGAUCGCAAGACCUCGCGCGAUUGGAGCGGCCGAGAGCAGAUUAGGUAGUUGGUGAGGUAAAGGCUCACCAAGCCGAUGAUCUGUAGCUGGUAUGAGAGGACGACCAGCCACACUGGGACUGAGCCACGGCCCAGACUCCUACGGGAGGCAGCAGUGGGGAAUUUUGGACAAUGGGCGAAAGCCUGAUCCAGCCAUGCCGCGUGCAGGAUGAAGGCCUUCGGGUUGUAAACUGCUUUUGUACGGAACGAAAAGGUUUGGCCUAAUAAGCUGAGCUCAUGACGGUACCGUAAGAAUAAGCACCGGCUAACUACGUGCCAGCCGCCGCCGAAA